UCCGAAUUGGUGUAGGGGUCAACAUUGCCGCUUCUCAUUUUCGCGUUGGCAACUCUCGUCUUACGUAAUCUGUGCGCGGCAGCCCGGGGUUCGAUUCCCCGAUUCGGAA
Non-coding RNA from Mycena leptocephala, 109 nucleotides. Lineage: Eukaryota; Fungi; Basidiomycota; Agaricomycetes; Agaricales; Mycenaceae. The record is from the annotation of a GenBank genome assembly.